RNAcentral lists this ribosomal RNA (882 nucleotides) under uncultured bacterium. RNAcentral's name for it is "bacterial SSU rRNA". It matches the Rfam family "Bacterial small subunit ribosomal RNA", at positions 26 to 896 of the family's 1533-position model. The record is from RNAcentral.
AGAUUGAACGCUGGCGGUAUGCUUAACACAUGCAAGUCGAACGGUAACAGGAGAGAGCUUGCUCUCUUGCUGACGAGUGGCGGACGGGUGAGUAACGCGUAAGAAUCUGCCUAGUAGUGGGGGACAACUACCGGAAACGGUAGCUAAUACCGCAUACGCCCUACGGGGGAAAGUGGGGGACCUUCGGGCCUCACGCUAUUAGAUGAGCUUGCGUAGGAUUAGCUAGUUGGUGAGGUAAUGGCUCACCAAGGCAACGAUCCUUAGCUGGUCUGAGAGGACGAUCAGCCACACUGGGACUGAGACACGGCCCAGACUCCUACGGGAGGCAGCAGUGGGGAAUAUUGGACAAUGGGCGCAAGCCUGAUCCAGCAAUACCGCGUGUGUGAAGAAGGCCUGAGGGUUGUAAAGCACUUUCAAUUGUGAAGAAAAGCCUGGGGUUAAUAUCCCCGAGUCUUGACGUUAACUUUAGAAGAAGCACCGGCUAACUCUGUGCCAGCAGCCGCGGUAAUACAGAGGGUGCGAGCGUUAAUCGGAAUUACUGGGCGUAAAGCGUACGUAGGCGGUUUAGUAAGUCAGAUGUGAAAGCCCCGGGCUCAACCUGGGAACUGCAUUUGAAACUGCUGAACUAGAGUGUGGUAGAGGGAAGUGGAAUUCAGGGUGUAGCGGUGAAAUGCGUAGAUAUCCUGAGGAACACCAGUGGCGAAGGCGACUUCCUGGACCAACACUGACGCUGAGGUACGAAAGCGUGGGUAGCAAACAGGAUUAGAUACCCUGGUAGUCCACGCCGUAAACGAUGUCAACUAGUUGUUGGGAGCAUUUUGGCUUUUAGUAACGUAGCUAACGCGAUAAGUUGACCGCCUGGGGAGUACGGCCGCAAGGUUA